Molecule: long non-coding RNA, 382 nt
Filed under: Calidris pugnax (ruff)
Lineage: Eukaryota; Metazoa; Chordata; Aves; Charadriiformes; Scolopacidae
Description: lncRNA (ENSCPUG00000011543.1)
Source: RNAcentral
GCUACAUGAAGCUCUGCACCGCCAGAGACUUUGCCAUGGAGUUUGCCAAACACCUCACACAUUAUGAGGCGGCUGACGUUGUCUGUGUGGCCAUUGAGGCACUGAGAGACUCCAGCAUCUUCGACAAGGAGGCGGCAAGAAACAUGCUGGAUCUGUUCAUGACAUACCCCGGCUUCUGGCUGGUGGAUGUGCCAAAGAUCAUGAGCUGCAUCCGGGAAAACCUGGAACGUAUCAACAUGGAGUCAGCCCGGCAAAGCAUGGAGUCACUGCUUCUUGCGCUGACUCACCUGGACCCCAGCAAAGUGUUCCUGAGCCUGUUGAAGUUCUCGGCAACCAGAGACAGGUACUGGCCCCAAAAGCCAUGCGGGUUUGUUCCCUGUGG